Long non-coding RNA from Entelurus aequoreus (snake pipefish), 634 nucleotides. RefSeq lists it as uncharacterized. The record is from RefSeq and is a predicted model, not a curated record. The transcript has 3 exons. NCBI's taxonomy places the organism in Eukaryota, Metazoa, Chordata, Actinopteri, Syngnathiformes, Syngnathidae.
GUAAGAGGUCUAUAAGUGGGGGUUGUUGAAGAUGACAUUAAAGAAGUGGUGGAGACCGGACCUGCCCUCAUGACUCCCAUGUAUUAUUUUAUUAGGCGCUCUCUCUCCGCUGCGGGCGUGCCUCCUCGCGCCUGCAGACAAUCUGCAAGCGGCGCACCUGCCCGUGAUGAACGAGCUGCCUUCAUAAGCCUGCUCAACCUGCCAUCCCGCGCCGGAAUAUAAUCUUCUGUUGGCGUACAACCUCCGUUCCCGUGUUUGACGUUGCUGUGUGCCUCGUCAUUCCUCGUCGUCGUUCCCCUGUUUCCCAGACUGCCUUUUCAAUCUCGACCUCCCACUUGGACCCAGAUCUCUUGACGCCUCUCUCUCGCCCUGGAUCAUCUGCCUGCCCAACGGACUGUCUUCCUGCCUCCUCUCGCCCAACACAACACUAGGUAACACACACUACAGCUAAUCACACACAUAGCCACAUACACUUUUGGAUCUAGUUCACACUCCAUUUCCUUAGUUUAUAUUACUAUUGUUUGAUUAUUAUAUAUAUGGUUAAUAUAUAUAAUAAAUACAUAGAGCUAAACAACCCCUGGUGUCUGUUGCCGUCACCUCCCUUCAGUAAACAUAACAGAAUUGUCCAAAAUGU